This 346-nucleotide unclassified non-coding RNA is filed under the name soil metagenome. RNAcentral describes it as "partial contains 5.8S ribosomal RNA, internal transcribed spacer 2, and large subunit ribosomal RNA". The stretch from base 1 to 120 matches the Rfam family "5.8S ribosomal RNA", at positions 35 to 154 of the family's 154-position model. The record is from RNAcentral.
GAUGAAGAACGCAGCGAAAUGCGAUAAGUAAUGUGAAUUGCAGAAUUCAGUGAAUCAUCGAGUCUUUGAACGCACAUUGCGCCCCUUGGUAUUCCGAGGGGCACGCCUGUCCGAGCGUCAUUACCGACCCCUCGAGCCCACCUUGCGCUCGGUGUUGAGCCCCGCCCCCCGCACGUCGCGGGGCGGGCUUCGAAAGUUGUCGGCGGUGACGGCGUGGUCCCGAGCGUGAUGCAUUCGCGCACUCGUGCGGCCUCGCCCGCCCUGUCCACACUGACCACACUCAAGACGUUGACCUCGGAUCAGGCGGGGAUACCCGCUGAACUUAAGCAUAUCAAUAAGCGGAGGA